AACCAACCUUUUCUGCUAACUACUCUCAUAUGCACCGCAAAUGUUUGUCUCCAACUUGACCACAGAAGCUUUUGGAACCAUAGAAAUUUAGAAAGAACGUACCAACUGUGCCAAUCCAACACCAUACUACUACAACUGCUACUUCCUCUGGAGCAUGCAUGUCAUUCCUUAAAAAAUAUCUUGGACCCUUUUGCCUUUGACAGUGGAAAAGGAUAAAAAGAUAAAACGGAUAGAAAUUCGAAUGGUCUUGUCUUGCUUUUGAGUUUCACAAGUACCAAAGGG
Molecule: long non-coding RNA, 282 nt
Filed under: Glycine max (soybean)
Lineage: Eukaryota; Viridiplantae; Streptophyta; Magnoliopsida; Fabales; Fabaceae
Description: long non-coding RNA (GMAX_LNC004594)
Source: RNAcentral